GAGAUAUUAGUAAAGUAAUUACAUAACCUUGUCAAGGUUAAAUCAUAGACUAGAAUCUAUAUAUCUUA
Molecule: transfer RNA, 68 nt
Filed under: Apodemus peninsulae (Korean field mouse)
Lineage: Eukaryota; Metazoa; Chordata; Mammalia; Rodentia; Muridae
Description: tRNA-Asp
Source: RNAcentral